This 195-nucleotide ribosomal RNA is filed under the name Vibrio cholerae. RNAcentral describes it as "partial 16S ribosomal RNA". It matches the Rfam family "Bacterial small subunit ribosomal RNA", at positions 1 to 187 of the family's 1533-position model. Lineage: Bacteria; Pseudomonadati; Pseudomonadota; Gammaproteobacteria; Vibrionales; Vibrionaceae. The record is from RNAcentral.
UUUAAUUGAAGAGUUUGAUCAUGGCUCAGAUUGAACGCUGGCGGCAGGCCUAACACAUGCAAGUCGAGCGGCAGCACAGAGGAACUUGUUCCUUGGGUGGCGAGCGGCGGACGGGUGAGUAAUGCCUGGGAAAUUGCCCGGUAGAGGGGGAUAACCAUUGGAAACGAUGGCUAAUACCGCAUAACCUCGCAAGAG